Molecule: long non-coding RNA, 865 nt
Organism: Aethalodelphis obliquidens (Pacific white-sided dolphin)
Lineage: Eukaryota; Metazoa; Chordata; Mammalia; Artiodactyla; Delphinidae
Exons: 3
Source: RefSeq, a predicted model, not a curated record
CGCUUGGAGCUGUGGCCGGUUUUCUUUCCCUCUCCCGUUCCAUUGCAAAGCGUAGGCGCGUUCAGAGAGAAGGACUAAAAACAAAGUGGGGCGGAAGAGAUAAAGCUUUCUCUGUUGAAAUUGAGACAUUGGCCUAGAAGUGACAGAUUAAGCCCACAGAACUGGAUACAUCAAUCAAUGAAAAAAAAUCAGCAGGAAAAACAAAGUCAUGAGUGCAGUACUCCAGAGAAUACCCAACACAAAACAGGAUAAUCUAUGUGCUCAGAAUUUUAUGAACAUCAUCUUCCAGUCUAUUGAAGAAUCCUCCAUCAUGUGAUAAAGUCUGAGAAGAACUCAAUUCCUGUCAAAAAUGAAUUAAGAUUUACUAUCAAUCAACACAAAAGUGCAUGCAUGCAUUUAAUAAACCUGGUCAGCCACUAGAAGGAUAGAGAAUGAAAAAAAAAUAACAUAGAGACAAUCAACCAUCUGAUUCUUCUCUAUCUCCAGAAGAUAACCAGUGGAGAUACAUUUGCAAAUGUCCUUUUCUUUACUUCAUAUUUUUUGAGUUGGGUAUUGCUUGAUUUUUAAAUUAUUUUUUAUCCAUGUACCAUACAAUUUACCCAUUUAAUUUGCACAUUUAAAUGGUUUUUAAUAUAUUCACAGAGUUGUACAACCAUAACCCAUUUAUAAAGUUACAUCAAGCCCAAAAAGAAACCCAGAACUUAUUAGCAUCAUUUCCCAUUCCCUCCUAAUCCCUCCCCUCAGCUGUUCCCUAGGCAACACUAAUUACUUUCUGUCUGUAUAGAUUUGGCUAUUCUGGACAUCUGAUAUAAAUGGAAUCAUACCGUAUAAGGUCUUUUGUGACUGGCUUCUUUCACUUUGCAAA